UACAGAGGUCUCAAGCGUUGUUCGGAUUCAUUGGGCGUAAAGCGCGCGUAGGCGGGUUGGUAAGUCCGCUGUGAAAGCCCGGGAGCUUAACUCCGGAGGGUCGGUGGAUACUGCCAGUCUUGAAGGUGCUAGGGGGAGAUGGAAUUACCGGUGUAGCGGUGAAAUGCGUAGAGAUCGGGAAGAACAUCAGUGGCGAAGGCGGCCUGCUGGGCUGUUGCUGACGCUGAGGCGCGGACAGCGUGGGGAGCAAACG
This 253-nucleotide ribosomal RNA is filed under the name uncultured bacterium. RNAcentral's name for it is "partial 16S ribosomal RNA". It matches the Rfam family "Bacterial small subunit ribosomal RNA", at positions 524 to 774 of the family's 1533-position model. The record is from RNAcentral.